CAGAUAUUAAAACUUUAAUUUUUAAAAUUAACAACUAUGCAGUAUUGGUGGAAUGAUAGUGUUUUCUGUAUCUGUGUGUAUUCAAAAUCAUUCAAUAAAAAGGCUCUGUUAGACAUAUAAAGGCAUCAAAUUAUAUGGGGAAAAAAUCUCUUAAAAGUUGUUUAGUGUUUUUUUUGCACUGGCUACAUAAACUGCUGUGACCAGAAGUUUUAAAAGUACUCUAAAAAUAAAGGUUAAAACUGUAGUUUACAGCAUCACAAAAACAUAUUACUAUGUGAAGGCUUCUGUAUUUGACAACUUCAUUCAUAAUUUACACCAAAAGAGGAAAUUCCCUUUACUUCAAAUCAUACUGCUAUCCUUCACUAAAAAG
Molecule: long non-coding RNA, 370 nt
Organism: Sinocyclocheilus anshuiensis
Lineage: Eukaryota; Metazoa; Chordata; Actinopteri; Cypriniformes; Cyprinidae
Exons: 3
Source: RefSeq, a predicted model, not a curated record